RNAcentral lists this transfer RNA (77 nucleotides) under Candidatus Bathyarchaeota archaeon. RNAcentral describes it as "tRNA-Arg". It matches the Rfam family "tRNA". Rfam says of the family: Transfer RNA (tRNA) molecules are approximately 80 nucleotides in length. The record is from RNAcentral. Lineage: Archaea; Thermoproteati; Candidatus Bathyarchaeota.
GGGCGGGUAGCCUAGCCAGGAUAGGGCGCAGGCCUCCGGAGCCUGUGAGGAGGGUUCAAAUCCCUCCCCGCCCGCCA